AUGCUCAUGCACCAACGCCCGAGCUCUUUGCUUCUCGUCAAGCCAUCCACCGUCACAGGCGUCAUCGGCGACCAGAAGCCUCCUCGUCGCCCCUCGAGCGGGAGUGCAACUCCAGCGCCCAUGGCCUCUGCCGCGCCGGAGCUUUGCUGCCACAGGCGACAGCAACAACAACUCUCGUGCGUGUGUCCACUGAACCCCGUCGCCCUCCAUCUACAUCGCCGGCGACCACCUGCAGGAGCCCCGAGGAGUUUUGCGCCGGCCAUCCUCGUCCUCCGCGCCUACAUCAGCUCCAGGACAGGAUCCCCUCGAUCCCGUGCUCUUCGUUGA
This 327-nucleotide ribosomal RNA is filed under the name Triticum aestivum (bread wheat). Its description in RNAcentral is "partial small subunit ribosomal RNA". Lineage: Eukaryota; Viridiplantae; Streptophyta; Magnoliopsida; Poales; Poaceae. The record is from RNAcentral.